Molecule: ribosomal RNA, 165 nt
Filed under: uncultured bacterium
Lineage: Bacteria
Description: partial 16S rRNA
Rfam family: Bacterial small subunit ribosomal RNA
Source: RNAcentral
UAGGGAAUCUUCGGCAAUGGACGAAAGUCUGACCGAGCAACGCCGCGUGAGUGAAGAAGGUUUUCGGAUCGUAAAACUCUGUUGGUAGAGAAGAACGUUGGUGAGAGUGGAAAGCUCAUCAAGUGACGGUAACUACCCAGAGAGGGACGGCUAACUACGUACCAG